AAAUGAAUUGACGGGGGCCCGCACAAGCGGUGGAGCAUGUGGUUUAAUUCGAUGAUACGCGAAGAACCUUACCUGGGCUUGAACUGCACCUGACAGACGCAGAGAUGCGUUUUCCUUCGGGCAUGUGCAGAGGUGCUGCAUGGUUGUCGUCAGCUCGUGUCGUGAGAUGUUGGGUUAAGUCCCGCAACGAGCGCAACCCUUACUCCCUGUUGCCAUCGGGUAAUGCCGGGCACUCUGGGGGAACUGCCGGUGACAAACCGGAGGAAGGUGGGGAUGACGUCAAAUCAUCACGGCCCUUAUGUCCAGGGCUACACACGUGCUACAAUGGCCGGUACAAAGAGAGGCGAUGUCGCGAGGCGGAGCAAAUCUCAGAAAACCGGUCUCAGUUCGGAUCGGAGUCUGCAACUCGACUCCGUGAAGUUGGAAUCGCUAGUAAUCGCGGAUCAGCACGCCGCGGUGAAUACGUUCCCGGGCCUUGUACACACCGCCCGU
RNAcentral lists this ribosomal RNA (492 nucleotides) under uncultured bacterium. RNAcentral's name for it is "bacterial SSU rRNA". It matches the Rfam family "Bacterial small subunit ribosomal RNA", at positions 903 to 1397 of the family's 1533-position model. The record is from RNAcentral.